CCUACGGGAGGCAGCAGUGAGGAAUAUUGGUCAAUGGACGAGAGUCUGAACCAGCCAAGUAGCGUGAAGGAUGACUGCCCUAUGGGUUGUAAACUUCUUUUAUAUGGGAAUAAAAUGUUCCACGUGUGGGAUUUUGUAUGUACCAUAUGAAUAAGGAUCGGCUAACUCCGUGCCAGCAGCCGCGGUAAUACGGAGGAUCCGAGCGUUAUCCGGAUUUAUUUGGUUUAAAGGGAGCGUAGGUGGAUUGUUAAGUCAGUUGUGAAAGUUUGCGGCUCAACCGUAAAAUUGCAGUUGAAACUGGCAGUCUUGAGUACAGUAGAGGUGGGCGGAAUUCGUGGUGUAGCGGUGAAAUGCUUAGAGAUCACGAAGAACUCCGAUUGCGAAGGCAGCUCACUGGACUGCAACUGACACUGAGGCUCGAAAGUGUGGGUAUCAAACAGGAUUAGAUACCCUUGUAGUC
This 460-nucleotide ribosomal RNA is filed under the name uncultured bacterium. Its description in RNAcentral is "partial 16S ribosomal RNA". It matches the Rfam family "Bacterial small subunit ribosomal RNA", at positions 338 to 795 of the family's 1533-position model. The record is from RNAcentral.